GAUGAAUGCUGGCGGCGUGCCUAAUACAUGCAAGUCGAGCGAACGGACGAGAAGCUUGCUUCUCUGAUGUUAGCGGCGGACGGGUGAGUAACACGUGGAUAGCCUACCUAUAAGACUGGGAUAACUUCGGGAAACCGGAGCUAAUACCGGAUAAUAUUUUGAACCGCAUGGUUCAAAAGUGAAAGACGGUCUUGCUGUCACUUAUAGAUGGAUCCGCGCUGCAUUAGCUAGUUGGUAAGGUAACGGCUUACCAAGGCAACGAUGCAUAGCCGACCUGAGAGGGUGAUCGGCCACACUGGAACUGAGACACGGUCCAGACUCCUACGGGAGGCAGCAGUAGGGAAUCUUCCGCAAUGGGCGAAAGCCUGACGGAGCAACGCCGCGUGAGUGAUGAAGGUCUUCGGAUCGUAAAACUCUGUUAUUAGGGAAGAACAUAUGUGUAAGUAACUGUGCACAUCUUGACGGUACCUAAUCAGAAAGCCACGGCUAACUACGUG
Molecule: ribosomal RNA, 497 nt
Filed under: uncultured bacterium
Lineage: Bacteria
Description: partial 16S ribosomal RNA
Rfam family: Bacterial small subunit ribosomal RNA
Source: RNAcentral